GAAGACGUAAUUAAAAAAGGGCGCUGUUA
Molecule: small RNA, 29 nt
Filed under: Bombyx mori (domestic silkworm)
Lineage: Eukaryota; Metazoa; Arthropoda; Insecta; Lepidoptera; Bombycidae
Description: ovarian small RNA-15213
Source: RNAcentral